GGGUUUUUGAUGGAGGGUUUGAUCCUGGCUCAGGACGAACGCUGGCGGCGUGCUUAACACAUGCAAGUCGAACGGUAAGGCUCCAGCUUGCUGGGGUACACGAGUGGCGAACGGGUGAGUAACACGUGGGUGACCUGCCCUGCACUUCGGGAUAAGCCUGGGAAACUGGGUCUAAUACCGGAUAGGACCAUGGUGUGGAUGCUGUGGUGGAAAGUUUUUUCGGUGUGGGAUGGGCCCGCGGCCUAUCAGCUUGUUGGUGGGGUAAUGGCCUACCAAGGCGGCGACGGGUAGCCGGCCUGAGAGGGUGGACGGCCACAUUGGGACUGAGACACGGCCCAGACUCCUACGGGAGGCAGCAGUGGGGAAUAUUGCACAAUGGGCGGAAGCCUGAUGCAGCGACGCCGCGUGGGGGAUGACGGCCUUCGGGUUGUAAACUCCUUUCACCAUCGACGAAGGGUUUCUGACGGUAGAUGGAGAAGAAGCACCGGCUAACUACGUGCCAGCAGCCGCGGUAAUACGUAGGGUGCGAGCGUUGUCCGGAAUUACUGGGCGUAAAGAGCUCGUAGGUGGUUUGUCGCGUCGUCUGUGAAAUUCCGGGGCUUAACUCCGGGCGUGCAGGCGAUACGGGCAUAACUUGAGUACUGUAGGGGAGACUGGAAUUCCUGGUGUAGCGGUGAAAUGCGCAGAUAUCAGGAGGAACACCGGUGGCGAAGGCGGGUCUCUGGGCAGUAACUGACGCUGAGGAGCGAAAGCAUGGGGAGCGAACAGGAUUAGAUACCCUGGUAGUCCAUGCCGUAAACGGUGGGCGCUAGGUGUGGGUUUCCUUCCACGGGAUCCGUGCCGUAGCUAACGCAUUAAGCGCCCCGCCUGGGGAGUACGGCCGCAAGGCUAAAACUCAAAGGAAUUGACGGGGGCCCGCACAAGCGGCGGAGCAUGUGGAUUAAUUCGAUGCAACGCGAAGAACCUUACCUGGGCUUGACAUAUACAGGAUCGCGCCAGAGAUGGUGUUUCCCUUGUGGCUUGUAUACAGGUGGUGCAUGGUUGUCGUCAGCUCGUGUCGUGAGAUGUUGGGUUAAGUCCCGCAACGAGCGCAACCCUUGUCUUAUGUUGCCAGCACGUUGUGGUGGGGACUCGUAAGAAACUGCCGGGGUUAACUCGGAGGAAGGUGGGGAUGACGUCAAAUCAUCAUGCCCCUUAUGUCCAGGGCUUCACACAUGCUACAAUGGUCGGUACAGUGGGUUGCCAGUCCGUGAGGGCGAGCUAAUCCCGUAAAGCCGGUCUCAGUUCGGAUCGGGGUCUGCAACUCGACCCCGUGAAGUCGGAGUCGCUAGUAAUCGCAGAUCAGCAACGCUGCGGUGAAUACGUUCCCGGGCCUUGUACACACCGCCCGUCACGUCAUGAAAGUCGGUAACACCCGAAGCCAGUGGCCUAAACUCGUUAGGGAGCUGUCGAAGGUGGGAUUGGCGAUUGGGACGAAGUCGUAACAAGGUAGCCGUACCGGAAGGUGCGGCUGGAUCACCUCCUUUCUAAGGAGA
RNAcentral lists this ribosomal RNA (1535 nucleotides) under Corynebacterium amycolatum. RNAcentral's name for it is "16S ribosomal RNA". It matches the Rfam family "Bacterial small subunit ribosomal RNA". The record is from RNAcentral. RNAcentral also lists the same sequence under 2 other names. Lineage: Bacteria; Bacillati; Actinomycetota; Actinomycetes; Mycobacteriales; Corynebacteriaceae.